GAGAAUGCCGGUGUGAGUAGCGAAAGACGGGUGAGAAUCCCGUCCACCGAUUGACUAAGGUUUCCAGAGGAAGGCUCGUCCGCUCUGGGUUAGUCGGGUCCUAAGCUGAGGCCGACAGGCGUAGGCGAUGGAUAACAGGUUGAUAUUCCUGUACCACCUAUAAUCGUUUUAAUCGAUGGGGGGACGCAGUAGGAUAGGCGAAGCGUGCGAUUGGAUUGCACGUCUAAGCAGUAAGGCUGAGUAUUAGGCAAAUCCGGUACUCGUUAAGGCUGAGCUGUGAUGGGGAGAAGACAUUGUGUCUUCGAGUCGUUGAUUUCACACUGCCGAGAAAAGCCUCUAGAUAGAAAAUAGGUGCCCGUACCGCAAACCGACACAGGUAGUCAAGAUGAGAAUUCUAAGGUGAGCGAGCGAACUCUCGUUAAGGAACUCGGCAAAAUGACCCCGUAACUUCGGGAGAAGGGGUGCUCUUUAGGGUUAACGCCCAGAAGAGCCGCAGUGAAUAGGCCCAAGCGACUGUUUAUCAAAAACACAGGUCUCUGCUAAACCGUAAGGUGAUGUAUAGGGGCUGACGCCUGCCCGGUGCUGGAAGGUUAAGAGGAGUGGUUAGCUUCUGCGAAGCUACGAAUCGAAGCCCCAGUAAACGGCGGCCGUAACUAUAACGGUCCUAAGGUAGCGAAAUUCCUUGUCGGGUAAGUUCCGACCCGCACGAAAGGCGUAACGAUUUGGGCACUGUCUCAACGAGAGACUCGGUGAAAUCAUAGUACCUGUGAAGAUGCAGGUUACCCGCGACAGGACGGAAAGACCCCGUGGAGCUUUACUGUAGCCUGAUAUUGAAAUUCGGCACAGCUUGUACAGGAUAGGUAGGAGCCUUUGAAACGUGAGCGCUAGCUUACGUGGAGGCGCUGGUGGGAUACUACCCUAGCUGUGUUGGCUUUCUAACCCGCACCACUUAUCGUGGUGGGAGACAGUGUCAGGCGGGCAGUUUGACUGGGGCGGUCGCCUCCUAAAAGGUAACGGAGGCGCUCAAAGGU
Molecule: ribosomal RNA, 1031 nt
Filed under: Staphylococcus aureus
Lineage: Bacteria; Bacillati; Bacillota; Bacilli; Caryophanales; Staphylococcaceae
Description: partial 23S ribosomal RNA
Rfam family: Bacterial large subunit ribosomal RNA
Source: RNAcentral